This 497-nucleotide ribosomal RNA is filed under the name uncultured bacterium. RNAcentral describes it as "partial 16S ribosomal RNA". It matches the Rfam family "Bacterial small subunit ribosomal RNA", at positions 29 to 523 of the family's 1533-position model. The record is from RNAcentral.
AUUGAACGCUGGCGGUAGGCCUAACACAUGCAAGUCGAACGCGAAAGUCCUUCGGGAUGAGUAGAGUGGCGGACGGGUGAGUAACGCGUAGGAGUCUAUCCUGUAGUGGGGGAUAACGUUUCGAAAGGAACGCUAAUACCGCAUACGCCCCAAGGGGGAAAGCGGGGGAUCUUCGGACCUCGUGCUAUAGGAGGAGCCUGCGUCGGAUUAGCUAGUUGGUGAGGUAAAGGCUCACCAAGGCGACGAUCCGUAGCUGGUCUGAGAGGAUGAUCAGCCACACCGGAACUGAGACACGGUCCGGACUCCUACGGGAGGCAGCAGUGGGGAAUAUUGCGCAAUGGGCGAAAGCCUGACGCAGCCAUACCGCGUGUGUGAAGAAGGCCUUCGGGUUGUAAAGCACUUUCAGUGGGGAGGAAAAGCUGGUGGCUAAUAUCCAUCGGCCGUGACGCUACCCACAGAAGAAGCACCGGCUAAUUCCGUGCCAGCAGCCGCGGUAA